RNAcentral lists this long non-coding RNA (302 nucleotides) under Eucalyptus grandis. RNAcentral describes it as "long non-coding RNA (EGRA_LNC001587)". The record is from RNAcentral. Lineage: Eukaryota; Viridiplantae; Streptophyta; Magnoliopsida; Myrtales; Myrtaceae.
CGAGGAUAGUUCCUGUUCUUUGGAAAUUCUACUAAUGCAACACAUGUGUUCUGAUGAUAGUCUACUAAUUGAAACAUAAGAUGAUACUGGGUAGUGCGUACCUGGACAAUCCAACGUAGGACAUAUAUAAUCUUUUGUCCACGUAGGAGGUCAAGUGUGACGUCCAAAACGUCGAGGUUGCUCAAUUCUAGUUUCUUCUGAUAAUAAAGGAGACGAACUCUGAUGAAUCAUCAGCGAAGAGGUCACUGAAGAAUUUGAUGAAGGAUCUUUCUUAGGUGAAGAAGCUGGUGAGUCGAUGGUUC